GACGAACGCUGGCGGCGUGCUUAACACAUGCAAGUCGAACGGAGAAGCGCCUUCCUUGUUGGUGGGUGGGGAUGAGCGGCGAAGGGGGGAGCAAGACGUGAGUAACCUUCCCCCUCCUGCUGGAUAACCGCAAGAAAGAGCGGCUAAUACGGGAUAUUCUGGACCUGUUGGAUGAUGGGUCUGGGAAAGAUAUUGUUUCGGUGGGGGAUGGGUCCGCGGUCUAUUAGCUUGUUGGUGGGGUGAGGGCCUACCAAGGCGGUGCCGGGUAGCCGGCCUGAGAGGGUGGCCGGCCACAGAGGGGCUGCGCGCCCGCCCCGACUCCGACAGGAGGCAGCAGUGGAUAUUCUGGCACAGGGGGCACAAGGCUGAUGCAGCGCCGCCGCGGGGGGGAUGGAGGCCUUCGCGUUAUGAUCCUCUUUCGGCAGUGAAGCAGUCUUGCCUCGUUUGUGGGUGGGUUGACGGUAGCUGGUUAAGAAGCGCCGGCUAACUACGUG
RNAcentral lists this ribosomal RNA (494 nucleotides) under uncultured bacterium. Its description in RNAcentral is "partial 16S ribosomal RNA". It matches the Rfam family "Bacterial small subunit ribosomal RNA", at positions 28 to 507 of the family's 1533-position model. The record is from RNAcentral.